GGCUCGUUGGUCAAGGGGUAUGAUUCUCGCUUCGGGUGCGAGAGAGGUCCCGGGUCAAACCCGGAUGAGCCC
This 72-nucleotide transfer RNA is filed under the name Ameiurus melas (black bullhead). RNAcentral's name for it is "tRNA-Pro". The record is from RNAcentral. Lineage: Eukaryota; Metazoa; Chordata; Actinopteri; Siluriformes; Ictaluridae.